RNAcentral lists this ribosomal RNA (229 nucleotides) under uncultured bacterium. Its description in RNAcentral is "partial 16S ribosomal RNA". It matches the Rfam family "Bacterial small subunit ribosomal RNA", at positions 568 to 796 of the family's 1533-position model. The record is from RNAcentral.
UGCGUAGGCGGCCAGAUUAGUCAGAGGUGAAAUCCUACAGCUUAACUGUAGAACUGCCUUUGAAACUGUUUGGCUAGAAUAGAGUUGAGGUUAGCGGAAUGUGACAUGUAGCGGUGAAAUGCAUAGAUAUGUCAUAGAACACCAAUUGCGAAGGCAGCUAACUGGGCUUUUAUUGACACUGAGGCACGAAAGCGUGGGGAGCGAACAGGAUUAGAUACCCUGGUAGUCC